AAUAUCAAUUUUUUAAAUCACUUGCUUUUUAAAAUGUAAUUUCAUAAAUCAUGCAUAAUUCAAAGAUUGAUUAUUUAUUUUCAAAAUAAAUUAUGAAAUAUCUUGAAAAGAUAAUUCAUUAUUUACUUUUCGUAGAACAUUGAACGAACAGAUCGAUUAACCUUCAAAAUCUAUUAUUCAAAAUUAUAUUUUUAUAUUAAUUUUAAUUCAAAACU
Molecule: long non-coding RNA, 215 nt
Filed under: Elaeis guineensis (African oil palm)
Lineage: Eukaryota; Viridiplantae; Streptophyta; Magnoliopsida; Arecales; Arecaceae
Description: long non-coding RNA (EGUI_LNC038203)
Source: RNAcentral